RNAcentral lists this ribosomal RNA (815 nucleotides) under uncultured beta proteobacterium. RNAcentral describes it as "bacterial SSU rRNA". It matches the Rfam family "Bacterial small subunit ribosomal RNA", at positions 71 to 883 of the family's 1533-position model. Lineage: Bacteria; Pseudomonadati; Pseudomonadota; Betaproteobacteria. The record is from RNAcentral.
AAAGGGGGGCAACCCCCGAGUAGAGUGGCGAACGGGUGAGUAAUACAUCGGAACGUGCCCAGUAGCGGGGGAUAACCUCUCGAAAGAGAGGCUAAUACCGCAUACGUCCUACGGGAGAAAGAGGGGGAUCGCAAGACCUCUCACUAUUGGAGCGGCCGAUGUCGGAUUAGCUAGUUGGCGGGGUAAUGGCCCACCAAGGCUACGAUCCGUAGCUGGUCUGAGAGGACGACCAGCCACACUGGAACUGAGACACGGUCCAGACUCCUACGGGAGGCAGCAGUGGGGAAUUUUGGACAAUGGGCGCAAGCCUGAUCCAGCCAUGCCGCGUGGGUGAAGAAGGCCUUCGGGUUGUAAAGCCCUUUCGGCUGGGACGAAAAGGUCCGCGCUAACACCGCGGAUCCAUGACGGUACCAGCAGAAGAAGCACCGGCUAACUACGUGCCAGCAGCCGCGGUAAUACGUAGGGUGCAGGCGUUAAUCGGAAUUACUGGGCGUAAAGCGUGCGCAGGCGGUCUCUUAAGACAGGUGUGAAAUCCCCGAGCUUAACUUGGGAACUGCGCUUGUAACUGAGAGGCUAGAGUGUGGCAGAGGGGGGUGGAAUUCCACGUGUAGCAGUGAAAUGCGUAGAGAUGUGGAGGAACACCGAUGGCGAAGGCAGCCCCCUGGGCUAACACUGACGCUCAUGCACGAAAGCGUGGGGAGCAAACAGGAUUAGAUACCCUGGUAGUCCACGCCCUAAACUAUGUCAACUGGUUGCCGGGGAAGCAAUUCCUUGGUAACGAAGCUAACGCGUGAAGUUGACCGCCUGGGGAGUAC